RNAcentral lists this long non-coding RNA (1251 nucleotides) under Mytilus galloprovincialis (Mediterranean mussel). The record is from RNAcentral. Lineage: Eukaryota; Metazoa; Mollusca; Bivalvia; Mytilida; Mytilidae.
UAAUAAUAAAGCAAUGUUUUCGAACUGCACUACAUAGAGGGGUAUGCCCCUGUACACUUUUGGAAAAUAAAUAUUUAUUAGCAUAACAGACAAAUUAUUUCUAGCAUUUAAAUUGGUACCCAACACUUUUACUAAAAUUAAUUUGACUCGUUUAAUUUUCAAAAAAUUUGGACAAUGUAUUUACUUUGACCCUUUAACAAAGAUAUAAAAAUUUCAAAAGUUUUGAACCAACUGUUUUGUCAGAAAAGUUACACUGGUUAUAUAGCAGUUUGACAAACACCAAUUUUGAUCAUUGAGAAGCUUAACAUUCCCUUUACAACACAACGUAAUUAAACGCUUUUUUUACCUAGAUUAAUUUAAUUCUUAAAUUUGACAGCAAUUCAACAAAAAACAAAAUUACCUGGGAUUCAGUAAGCCUAAUUAUAUAUCUAAGAUAGCUGCAUAGUAUGAUGAAAGUCAAGUCGAAGUAGUUAGUACUUUGUAGUUUUCAUUGACAUUGCUCUGUUGACCAAUCUAUGUUUAACACUUUUCAAAACGUUUAGAAAAUACAUACAGAUGAAUAAGUACAUUAUAUCUUUGAUGAACAUAAAUUGAUUAUGUCCCCUCUUGUGAUAAGAUUUAACAUAUUUAACUGACGCAUUCUCCAAAGUCGGAUAUUAGAUAACCAGAGAAACCAGAACACUCCUUAAUAUGACGGCAAAAGAUUUAGUCUGCCACAUGCUAGAGGUUGUUGAACUUCAACUUGCAGUCAAAAUCAAAUUAAAACUUUUUGAUUGAUGUCUUUCAAAUGUCUUUCAUGUUUUGUAUGCAAUGUAUAUGUUUUGUAUAGUUAAAUUCUGAGUGAUAAAACAUUUUAUAUGCUGAGAAUAACAGAUUACUGGUAUUCAUAUUAUAGCUGGUUGGUUUGGUCGUAUAGUUUUCUCUAAGCAGUUUAAACUUAGUUCUGCAUCUCUUAUGAUCUUAUUGUGUAUGCAGAUUCCUUGAAAAUUAGGCAGCUUUGAAACUAGAUCUUAUUGUAUUUUUUAAAUGCAGUGUAGUAGAGUCCAAGAUGAAACGGAAUGGAGGCUGAUUUCUUGAAUUAUAAAAAGGCAUACAUGAAAUCGAAAAUAUGAAAAUAUUUAACAAUUUGAAGUUUAAUCCCAGCUUUUUGCUACAUUGUUUGAAGGGUAUGAUCUCUGAUGUUUACCGUAUUACGUUAUAAACAGAUCACAAUUGUAUCUAUAUUUAGUCAUCUUCAAAAGUAAAAUAUCC